UACGGAGGGGGCAAGCGUUAUUCGGAAUUAUUGGGCGUAAAGGGCGCGUAGGCGGCCAGAUGAGUCAAAGGUGAAAUCCCUCGGCUCAACUGAGGAACUGCCUUUGAAACUGUCUGGCUUGAGGCCGGGAGAGGGUAGCGGAAUUCCCAGUGUAGCGGUGAAAUGCGUAGAUAUUGGGAGGAACACCAGUGGCGAAGGCGGCUACCUGGACCGGUUCUGACGCUGAGGCGCGAAAGCGUGGGUAGCAAACAGG
RNAcentral lists this ribosomal RNA (253 nucleotides) under uncultured bacterium. RNAcentral's name for it is "partial 16S ribosomal RNA". It matches the Rfam family "Bacterial small subunit ribosomal RNA", at positions 524 to 776 of the family's 1533-position model. The record is from RNAcentral.